UUUGGUGGGAUGGAAGGUGUGGGAGCAGCUGCCCAGGGAGGCAGCAGGGUCUGGGUGAAAUCCUUGCUGCCCUCUCCCCUCCAGGGUUUCUGGGGAGUUCAGAGCUCUUCCAUCUCCCUUUGGAAGAGGCUGGGGAGCCCAAUGCCUUCAGCCUGGCCAGGCAAUGCUGUGGGUUGGGCUGAUGGAGCAGGUGCCUGUGGGACUUUGAGAAGAAAAGCUCUGCUCCUGGCUCUUCAUCCUUCUGUCUUUAAGACCAAAAGUGGAAUCUGCUCUCAUGUCCAGGCAGUAUCUCUCACCUCCUGGAUAAGAGAAGCCAGCUGGAAAGAGGCUGGAGCCCCAGGGAGAAGAAGACAAUGUUAUCCUGAGGUUUCUUUCUCACCAUUUCUGCAGCACAUCUCUAAUUAAGCUCUCUGAACACACCCUGUUCCAGACUGGCCUGUGGAAAAUAUUGACCUUUAAAAGGGAGCUGAAAUACCCAAGGGGCUGGACAGGACUGGACAGCAGGCUUGUUCCUGUACCCAAGAGAAUUGUGGGAAUGAUGUGGCAGUGCUGGAGGGCAGAUGGGAAUCCUGCAGUUUGUGUCUCCAAGCCUGUUUGGCUGUGCCCUGGAUGGGGUCUGAGGGACCUGGUGUCUGGCUGCUGAGUCUCCUUCCAUCAUCAUCUGCCUCCCUGAGUGCUGGAUUCCCUGUGAAAAGUUGGCUUUCCCUCAUAAUCCCCAAAUGACAUCCUCAGUUACAAGAGGAAAAUGAAGCUCAGGCAAUUCACAACCCCAUGGAUCCAGCACCAGAGGCUUUUAUGAAUCUUUUUACAACACACUGCCAGGACUCAUUGUCUGGGGAGGAACAUGGGCUGCACCCCAGCCUCAUCCGCCCCUCCAUUCCCUCCUGUGGAAAAAUGACUUUGCCACAGUGAGAAAAAUCAUCAGGAAACGAGUGGGAAUGGCAGAGAACCACCUGUCCCAAUGCCAUGUGUGACCUGGGGCUGGCUGCUCACCAUGGGGAGGUGCAGACAGAUCCCUCAAACCCAGCUCAGGACAGAGCCAGGCACAUCCCUAAA
Long non-coding RNA from Cyanistes caeruleus (blue tit), 1056 nucleotides. RefSeq lists it as uncharacterized. NCBI's taxonomy places the organism in Eukaryota, Metazoa, Chordata, Aves, Passeriformes, Paridae. The record is from RefSeq and is a predicted model, not a curated record.